This 619-nucleotide ribosomal RNA is filed under the name uncultured bacterium. RNAcentral describes it as "bacterial SSU rRNA". It matches the Rfam family "Bacterial small subunit ribosomal RNA", at positions 505 to 1200 of the family's 1533-position model. The record is from RNAcentral.
GUGCCAGCAGCCGCGGUGAUACGGAGGGUGCAAGCGUUAAUCGGAAUUACUGGGCGUAAAGCGCACGCAGGCGGUUUGUUAAGUCAGAUGUGAAAUCCCCGGGCUCAACCUGGGAACUGCAUCUGAUACUGGCAAGCUUGAGUCUCGUAGAGGGGGGUAGAAUUCCAGGUGUAGCGGUGAAAUGCGUAGAGAUCUGGAGGAAUACCGGUGGCGAAGGCGGCCCCCUGGACGAAGACUGACGCUCAGGUGCGAAAGCGUGGGGAGCAAACAGGAUUAGAUACCCUGGUAGUCCACGCCGUAAACGAUGUCGACUUGGAGGUUGUGGCUUCCGGAGCUAACGCGUUAAGUCGACCGCCUGGGGAGUACGGCCGCAAGGUUAAAACUCAAAUGAAUUGACGGGGGCCCGCACAAGCGGUGGAGCAUGUGGUUUAAUUCGAUGCAACGCGAAGAACCUUACCUGGUCUUGACAUCCAGGUGCUGCAUGGCUGUCGUCAGCUCGUGUUGUGAAAUGUUGGGUUAAGUCCCGCAACGAGCGCAACCCUUAUCCUUUGUUGCAAUUCAAAGGAGACUGCCAGUGAUAAACUGGAGGAAGUGGGGAUGACGUCAAGUCAUCAUGGCC